GACGAACGCUGGCGGCGUGCCUAAUACAUGCAAGUCGAACGCACAGUUUAUACCGUAGCUUGCUACACCAUAAACUGUGAGUUGCGAACGGGUGAGUAACGCGUAGGUAACCUGCCUGGUAGCGGGGGAUAACUAUUGGAAACGAUAGCUAAUACCGCAUAAUAUUAAUUAUUGCAUGAUAAUUGAUUGAAAGAUGCAAUUGCAUCACUACCAGAUGGACCUGCGUUGUAUUAGCUAGUAGGUGAGGUAACGGCUCACCUAGGCGACGAUACAUAGCCGACCUGAGAGGGUGAUCGGCCACACUGGGACUGAGACACGGCCCAGACUCCUACGGGAGGCAGCAGUAGGGAAUCUUCGGCAAUGGACGAAAGUCUGACCGAGCAACGCCGCGGGAGUGAAGAAGGUUUUCGGAUCGGAAAGCUCUGUUGUAAGAGAAGAACGGGUGUGAGAGUGGAAAGUUCACACUGUGACGGUAUCUUACCAGAAAGGGACGGCUAACUACGUG
This 505-nucleotide ribosomal RNA is filed under the name uncultured bacterium. RNAcentral describes it as "partial 16S ribosomal RNA". It matches the Rfam family "Bacterial small subunit ribosomal RNA", at positions 28 to 507 of the family's 1533-position model. The record is from RNAcentral.